CAGGGAGGAUAAGGUGAUCGCGGCGUCGGUCGUUCGCGGCGCGACGUCGAGGAAAGUCCGGGCUCCACAGGGCAGGGUGCUGACGCAGGUCAGUCGGGGAAACCCGAAGGAAAGUGCCACAGAAAGCAAACCGCCCGCGUUCGCGCGGGUAAGGGUGAAAGGGUGUGGUAAGAGCGCACCGGGUCUCGGGUGACCGAGAUCGCACGGUAAACCCCACCUGGAGCAAGGCCGAGCAGGGACGCGCCAACCGAACCGCGAGGGGAGGAAGGCGAGGGGUCGCCCGCCCCGUCCCGGGUAGCGCCGCAUAGACGAAUGGUCACCACCCGGGGGAGGAGAUGAACCCGGGGACAGAACCCGGCUUACGACCCCCCUCGACCG
This 378-nucleotide RNase P RNA is filed under the name Myxococcales bacterium. RNAcentral describes it as "RNase P RNA component class A". It matches the Rfam family "Bacterial RNase P class A". Rfam says of the family: Ribonuclease P (RNase P) is a ubiquitous endoribonuclease, found in archaea, bacteria and eukarya as well as chloroplasts and mitochondria. Lineage: Bacteria; Pseudomonadati; Myxococcota; Myxococcia; Myxococcales. The record is from RNAcentral.